Molecule: non-coding RNA, 114 nt
Organism: Acanthosepion pharaonis
Lineage: Eukaryota; Metazoa; Mollusca; Cephalopoda; Sepiida; Sepiidae
Source: the annotation of a GenBank genome assembly
UUACGACCACAUCACGUUGAAGCACCGGUUCCCGUACGAUCACUGGAGUUAAGCAACGUCGAGCCUGGUCAGUACCUAGACAAGUGGCCUCUUGAGAAUACCAGGUGCUGUAAG